RNAcentral lists this ribosomal RNA (600 nucleotides) under Cyclophora tenuis. RNAcentral describes it as "partial Bacterial large subunit ribosomal RNA". It matches the Rfam family "Bacterial large subunit ribosomal RNA", at positions 1339 to 1959 of the family's 2925-position model. Lineage: Eukaryota; Bacillariophyta; Fragilariophyceae; Cyclophorales; Cyclophoraceae. The record is from RNAcentral.
GAAAGCCUAAGGUUUCCUGAGCAACGCUCGUCGACUCAGGGUAAGUCGGGACCUAAGCCGAGGCGGAAAAGCGUAGGCGAUGGACAACAGGUUGAAAUUCCUGUACUAUCCUGUAACAGAACUGUGGGGACGCAGAAAGAGAGCGUGAGCCGGGAAUGGAAAGACCGGUGCAAGCGAGGUAGGAGUCACAUAGGAAAAACCGUGUGGCAAUCCAAAGGCGUGAUGCGGAGCGAACUGAAGUAGCGAAGUAUGUGAGCCAUGCGUCGAGAAAAGCCGCUAUUGUUCAUGCUGUACCCGUACCGUAAACCGACACAGGUAGUCAAGGAGAGAAUCCUGAGGUGCUCGAGUGAUUCGUGGUUAAGGAACUAGGCAAAAUCGCCCUGUAACUUCGGGAGAAGGGGCUCCUACUUCGGUAGGACGCAGUGAAAAGACCCAGGCGACUGUUUAUCAAAAACAUAGGGCUAUGCUAAAUCGCAAGAUGAUGUAUAUGGCCUGACACCUGCCCGGUGCUGGAAGGUUAAGGGGAGAGGUUAGCGCAAGCGAAGCUUUGAACUUAAGCCCCAGUAAACGGCGGCCGUAACAAUAACGGUCCUAAGGUAG